Hippocampus zosterae (dwarf seahorse) is the source of this 1806-nucleotide long non-coding RNA. RefSeq lists it as uncharacterized. The transcript has 2 exons. NCBI's taxonomy places the organism in Eukaryota, Metazoa, Chordata, Actinopteri, Syngnathiformes, Syngnathidae. The record is from RefSeq and is a predicted model, not a curated record.
CAAGUCAAGUCAAGAGUAUUUCUCGAGCACUUUCAAACAGCCAUCGCUGCAUACAAAGUGCUGUACAUGGAGCAAUUUAACAUACCCAAUAAACAGUAAGACGAAUCGGUAAUAAAGGCGGUAGAAAGCACCAAGCAGUAAAAUCAAGAACAAAUCUAAGUCAUGCAUAUUAUUACACACACAUAUAUACACACACAUAAUUAUUAUUAUCUACACAGGUAGACUCUGGACACUCUGGACACUGGACACUCUGGACUUGUAGUUAAUCAAUCACAGUGAAUGUCUAGGGGCAUGUUCAUUUUUGUGGCAGCAGCAAAGAAAUGAAUUGACCUCAAAUCAAAUGCGGCCAUUUGCAGUCCAAACAUUUGAAUAUUGAAGUGAGUCCCUAAUCGUGUCAGUGAAAAAUACCGUACCACUGUAAAGGCGAAACAACUACAGUCAAACCUCAGUUUUUGAACGUCUCUGUUAUCGACCAAAUCAGAUUUCGACCAGAAAAUUUGAUAUUUUUACACCUCGGAUUACAACCGAAAACCUGUUUUCGACCAAACUGAGCAAAGCAGAAUACGCUACUUGACUCCUCUCGCCUUCCUUAGUUCAUUGUGAGCAGACGUGUUUGUUGUGAUUUACGCAAAUCUGACUGUUUUUAUGUUAUUUAUGCAUAGCGUAUGAGCCCUUAAUCAUGGGCUCAUAAAAUAGUUUCGGAUUUCGAACAAAUCGCUUUUCGAACAGCCUUCUGAAAUGGAUCAUGGUCGAAAACCGAGGUAUGAUUUGUAUUACAAUUUGGGAACUCUUUAUCAGGCUGUGUCUAAUAUAUAUAUAUAAAGUGUCCCUCAACGGGCACUUGAUUAUUGCAUUGCAAGCCGCUCCUACAACUGAUAACAUACAUGUGUGGGUGAUGGAGCCAAAUGUUUUAUUUUCCUUGUAAAAUUUGAUGUCGACGUGAACUUGCCGCAAGUGGUUCCGCGCUGCAAUUGGUCGUCUCAGUGACUAACUGCAUGUUUGUCUCAUGUUGUACCUUGUUUGUAUGCGGUGUGUAUCUUCAAAAAUGUCCUCACCUGCUCCGUGCUUCCACUAAAGUCCAAAUCAUUCACUUCUCUGCGCAUGACUCAAAUCAUUUACAUUGGCUCAGCAUUCUUCAAAGAGAAAGGGCAGAUAAUUUCAAGAUUUCAGUCGACUUCCUGGUUUACUUCCGCUUGUGGAGCUUCAAGGACGGUAUCUGAUGAAGAGUUGUUGUCUUGCGCCAUCAGAUAUACGAGCUUUAUUAAAACAACAUACACGAGCUGUUACCAAACCAAAACGUGGUAUACAGCUAUGGAAUCAAUGCCAUUAUAUCGCUUUGUCACAUUUUGUUUUGGUUGUGUGAAUUUUUCUUUUAUCUUACUGAUUUUAAUAUUUUAUACUAUUGCGCGUAUUUUACUGCAGAUUGUUUUACAAACCAUGAAGUAGUCAAUCAUAAUAUUUUUGGCGUGUGGCAAAAAAAGGGCAAAUCAGCACAUGCUGAGCGUAUCUUGUUUUCAUUGUUUUUUUUUUUUAAUGUCAUAACACCAAUAACCAAAUUGCUUCUGACAAUGGAAUAGUCACAUUAGUAUGUAUGGCUUACCAUAUUUCAAAUUUUCCCGUGUCAUUAGUUGUGUCUGGUCCAAGUGAAAGCAAAGCCCACUGUUUGUUCCAAGUGCUUGUGAUUGAAAUUAUUGUCUUGCAUUUCAUUGGUUGCUCAUGGGUUUGAUUUUUAUUUCUAUUUAUUACGUGUGUGUUGGUGGCAAUGACAAAUCUGAUCAUUAAAGCAAAACUGUCGGUUCUCUUGCA